UGGAGCUGCCUAGACCAGAGGGGGCUGAGGUAAGGCGAGGGCAGGAGCCGGGCCGGCCAGAGGAGCAGCCCAGAGAGCUGAGCUGGAGGCAGAGCAGCAGCGCGUUGGCAGAGUGGAGCUGGGGCUGGAGCCGGCGCCGUCUGGAGCCAGGUUCAAGGAGAGAUGUGGUGGGAAAAAGGGAACCUGAAGAAAGCAACGCAUCAGUAGAUUAAUCUGAUGUCUGAAGAGAUGUUGGUUUCUUCAGUUCUUGUUACCAUGUGAUGACUGAAAACUUAUAUCGAGCAACCUGAGUAGCUGUGACAGUCUCUCCCAGGCAAGCCCCACAGGAGAAGGAUGCUAUGGGGCAUUCCACCAAGCAGUUGAUGAGCCUACAAAAGAUCAGUUAGGAUUAGAGAUGGGGAGCAAGCAGUGAAAUCCAACAGAGACUUUUAUGUGUCUUGUUUGGGGCCAGCUAGGAAACCUCAAUGUCUAGGCUGUUUGUAGUUUUUCCACUGGGAGGUGAGGAAGUUUUCCUCCUUGUGGGCAAAAAUACUCAGUUUAUUUCCUGCUUUUAACCAGCAUGUGUGAAGUACUGUACAAAGCUCAAGAGAGAGCCUUCUGGUGUGGUUGAUUGGAGGUAGAUAUCUAACCAGUAAUGGAGGCAUAAUGGCCAAUUGAUGGAAACAUGGUCUUAACUAACA
This is a long non-coding RNA of Mauremys mutica (yellowpond turtle), 680 nucleotides long. RefSeq lists it as uncharacterized. The record is from RefSeq and is a predicted model, not a curated record. Lineage: Eukaryota; Metazoa; Chordata; Testudines; Geoemydidae. The transcript is spliced from 3 exons.